GAAAGUCGAACUGAUUAUCAUUUCCCCCUUCAUCUGUUUUGUCAAGGCUCCUUCUCUUGACAUUGAUCCUCUCGUAGAGGAAUUCGUCGAAUUUCUCCAACGCUUUCCUGUACUUCCUCUCUUCUCCAAUUCCGGCCCAUCUCUGAAAUUUCCACCAGAAAUCCGGCAUGAGGUAGCGGUAAACCGCUGCCUCAUCGAUGUCUUCGUACGCCUUGGCGUACAAGACAUCGGGGAGUAGUUCGACAGUGAGAUAUUUUGGAUCGUAUCCGAGCACCAUACUGCAAAUGCUGUCGAACAUGAACCUCUUGUACACAUCCUGCAUGUCUAGCUCCCACAUAGAGUCCAAGACCGGGAACAAGCCAGAGUUAAGCUUUUCGAGGAGGGAAGUGCUAAGAAGGUGUUCGAAUGGGGCAGAGUUGAAAAUAGAGUGGAGGAUCCGGCGCUGGGAGAGGCCAGAUUCUCCGUCCUCGACGAAAAUGCCUUCCCCAAAGGUUUCGAGUUUGUCUUUGAACUCGGGGCUUUGGGGAAAUUGGAGUGGCGUUUGUUGAAAAUAUGGUCUAGGUUUUUUGGAUCGCAGGUGAGGACUAUAUCUGUGGUGUGUGCUGUGCCGCCGGAGGACUUGAGGCGGCCGGUGAUGGUGCGGUGAAGCUGAGAUGGGCGGCGGAGGAUGUCGAAGAUAAGCUUAAAGGCUUUGUAGUUUCCGCGGCCGAUGAGGUAUGUCAGAGUUGUUGCCAGGAGUGGGAGGAGUAGGAUGAGAACUGCUAGUGCUAUUGCCGCCAUUGUUGGUUGAGGUUUUGUCGACUGUUGAGUAUGGAAGAGAAGUGAGAAAUUAUAUAGUUGUAAUGUAGGCUAGUUGUACGGAAUAGGGUUGAAAUUUUGUUACAUUUUAACUAAUUUAAUUUAAAGACUUAUAUUAAAAGGUUAUUCAAUUGUAAUCAUAAAUCAUAAUUAUAAUUGCCUUCAUGUUCCACAUAAUCAUUUCCUUCAUGUUAAUUUCCACAUGAUCAUUUACUCUACUUGUCCCUCCUACAACUGCAAAGGUUGGUGGCAUCGACAAUGAAUCUUAGAGCUACAUUAUAAACAAGUUAUAGUCUCACAACACAUUACGGCCUCAACAAUCUUUUGCGAUAAAAAACUCAUGAGUUUCGAGAAAAAGAAAACUCCUAAAUGAGUCCAACACUCGGCCACCGAUAUUAAAAGCGCACUAGGGAAGGGCAAAUGGAUAUUAGAGCAUCGAGAAUGUCUAUUGCAAUGACACUUAUUAGCACCGAAUACUUCACACUAUUAGUCUUCCACACCAUCCUAAUAUAUCGAACAUAGGUAGUGAUUUCAUAUCAUAUGUCUCACAGUUACCUUUCAAAUAUGAAUCUAGUUCAGUUCCACACUCUUUCUACUCGGUCGUAUUAUAUUCACACUCGAAGUCAUUGUCGUCUUCUGACAUGUUUGGAACAUUAGAACUAGUGGACGUUUGAUUGAAUGGUUUGUUCUCAUGGACCAUGAACUAGCAUAUGUACAUCAUUUGGCCUAGAUGUUUAUUUAUCCUAUUAAGACAUUAAAUCACCUCUCUUUUCGACACUCUAACUUUCAAACUAUCUUUCAUAAACAUCACAAUGGAAACCGCAGGCGCGACAUGAUGCCCUUCAACCAACUCCACCUUAUAGUUAUAAAGCAAAGCACUCGCCGCUUGCUUGGCAUACAAGAAAGCAAUCUUCUUCCCCAAGCAAGAUCUCGGCCCGGCAGCAAACGUCAUGAACUUGUACGACGGGACGUAAACAAUCUUGUUCCCUUCGGAGUUGAUCCAUCGCUCCGGCUUGAACUCCAUCCAAUCCUCCCCCCAAAUCUCCUCCAUCCUUCCCAUCGAAUAUAUCGAAAAGAGAACCAUCCUGUUCUUCCUAACGACAUGCCCGGUAGGUAACGUAUCCUCCUCUGUCGCCGUCCUGUGAUCAAACGGCACAGGCGGGUACAGCCCGCGGGCCUCACAAACCGCACCGUGUAGGUACACUAGCUUGUUCAACUCCUCCUCGCUGAGAAACUAGCCGUCCGAUGCUCAAAUGCGAGUGGCGGGUAAAGCCUUAGCGCCUCGCACACGGUGGCAUGCAAGUAAACCAUCUGGUUAAGCUCUUCAUCGCUGAAGAGCCUCCAAUUGUUGCAGUUUCUGCCAAUAUUCACACCUAUUUCGUCGAGGAUUUUUGCCUCGACGUUGGGGUGUGAAACAAUGAGCCAGAGCAGCCAGGAUAGAUUGAUAGAGACUGUGUCUCUCCCCGCUGCGAUCAUGUUGAACGCCAUAUCUCUCAUGAGCUUGUCAGACAUCCCGACUCUACCGGUUUCUCGUCCCGACUCGCCCUGUUCUCGACCUUCCACCAUGAAAAAUGUUAGAAAGUCGAACUGAUUAUCAUUUCCCCCUUCAUCUGUUUUGUCAAGGCUCCUUCUCUUGACAUUGAUCCUCUCGUAGAGGAAUUCGUCGAAUUUCUCCAACGCUUUCCUGUACUUCCUCUCUUCUCCAAUUCCGGCCCAUCUCUGAAAUUUCCACCAGAAAUCCGGCAUGAGGUAGCGGUAAACCGCCGCCUCAUCGAUGUCUUCGUACGCCUUGGCGUACAAGACAUCGGGGAGUAGUUCGACAGUGAGAUAUUUUGGAUCGUAUCCGAGCACCAUACUGCAAAUGCUGUCGAACAUGAACCUCUUGUACACAUCCUGCAUGUCUAGCUCCCACAUAGAGUCCAAGACCGGGAACAAGCCAGAGUUAAGCUUUUCGAGGAGGGAAGUGCUAAGAAGGUGUUCGAAUGGGGCAGAGUUGAAAAUAGAGUGGAGGAUCCGGCGCUGGGAGAGGCCAGAUUCUCCGUCCUCGACGAAAAUGCCUUCCCCAAAGGUUUCGAGUUUGUCUUUGAACUCGGGGCUUUGGGGAAAUUGGAGUGGCGUUUGUUGAAAAUAUGGUCUAGGUUUUUUGGAUCGCAGGUGAGGACUAUAUCUGUGGUGUGUGCUGUGCCGCCGGAGGACUUGAGGCGGCCGGUGAUGGUGCGGUGAAGCUGAGAUGGGCGGCGGAGGAUGUCGAAGAUAAGCUUAAAGGCUUUGUAGUUUCCGCGGCCGAUGAGGUAUGUCAGAGUUGUUGCCAGGAGUGGGAGGAGUAGGAUGAGAACUGCUAGUGCUAUUGCCGCCAUUGUUGGUUGAGGUUUUGUCGACUGUUGAGUAUGGAAGAGAAGUGAGAAAUUAUAUAGUUGUAAUGUAGGCUAGUUGUACGGAAUAGGGUUGAAAUUUU
Molecule: long non-coding RNA, 3253 nt
Filed under: Linum usitatissimum (flax)
Lineage: Eukaryota; Viridiplantae; Streptophyta; Magnoliopsida; Malpighiales; Linaceae
Description: long non-coding RNA (LUSI_LNC002606)
Source: RNAcentral